This 1561-nucleotide long non-coding RNA is filed under the name Canis lupus familiaris (dog). Its description in RNAcentral is "lncRNA (ENSCAFG00000053651.1, ENSCAFG00845019860.1)". The record is from RNAcentral. Lineage: Eukaryota; Metazoa; Chordata; Mammalia; Carnivora; Canidae.
CUGAGCUUCUGAAGAGAGAAAAAUAAUGAAGGCCUAAACUAAAAAGUGGGAAUAGAGGAGAGAGACUGCACUUGAGACACGAGUAGAAUUGUCAUAUGAUCGAAUAUAGAAGAGGCCAAUGAAGGAAGAAGAUGCUGAUGUGGGUGUCCAGAUGGGUGGUGGUACCAUUGACUACAAGGUAAAACCAGUUUGGGUGAAAGGAGACUGCACUAGGGAGAUAGUCCAUUCUGCAUUAGACAUCUUGGGAUUGAAGUAUCUUGGUAAUAAGUGGAGACAGCUAAUCUGCAGUUGCAAGUAUAGAGCUAUGAGUGAAGGCAAAGCAGAAGACAGGUUUGGAAUAGCAUGGAUGCCUUCAUCUUCAGGAAGAUGUAUAGAGUAAGAAGACAAAUUUUAAGAACAAUUUAAGAGGUCAAGAGGCAGAGAAAGGCAAAGGAGUCUCUGCUGAAAACAGAGAAACAAGGUAACAGGGUGAAAGAGGACAGUUAGGGGAUGAGCGCACGGCAAGUUAGGAAAGAGGGAGGGGUGGCAGGAAGCUUGGAAAGAGAGACUUGGUUAGCAGUAAGACUCCAAAAGGUUCAAGAAAGAUAAUGAUUCAUUUUAUUAAGGGAUUAAAACAUGCCAGGGACCAUUUUUAGCAGCUGGCACGGCUUGAUGCAUUCCAUUCUCACAACACCCUUGUGAAGUAGAGAUUAUUAUUAUUAUUCCUACUUUAUAGAUGAGAAAAUUAAGCAGAGAGAGGUGAACUUGCUGCCCAGGGUUACACAGGAAAACAAGCAACAGAAGCAAGAUUUAAAGUUCAGCCAUCCUGCUCCAAAGCCCACGUUUGCACAGAUGGAGGAGGAGGGCACUUUAUGGCUAGCUCCAUGAGGCCAGUUUCGAUACAGUGGCAGCUUUGUGGCCUGGGGAGGUGAAAGGAAGGUGAGACAGUGGAGAGUGCAAAUGUAGACAGACUGCUGUUUGCAAGCCGCUUAGCUAGGAAGAGGGUUGGAGUAAUAGCUGGAAGGGAGCACAAGAGUGGCAGAAGCUGUUCCGUGCUUAAUGAGCAAGUCUGGAGCAUGUGGACUUGAUAGAUUCUGUUUACAUCACACUCUAGAAUUGCUAGAAGAAAAAUGAGGGGGUUGGAUGAAAAGACGUGCAGGUUACUUCCAGCUCUGAUUCUACGAUUCCACAACUUUGAAAUUCUCCCUCAGUGCAGCCAGAUGGAAGAUUUCACUCAAUAAAAUUAGUUGGAAAAAUAAUUUCAUACACUUCUAAAGAGGGAUCUAAAUAGAAACCCAAGUGUCUAUUUAUUCUUGUUUCCUUAUACGUCAUGAGCUUUUAAUAUUUUUCCUCAUCCUGGUCUGUGUGACACUUCUUGUCCUCACAAGAGAGCCCUGAAGUUUUUGCUGUCUUUGGAUUUGGCCUGUUGAUAUAUUUUUUGCUUUCUUUUCAAAGCUUAGGAAAAAAGGAGUCAAGGUCAUCUGGAUUCAUAUUCUUUUCCUCCAUUGCCUUUCAUUUUUGUGAUGUGCCCUUCCUUCCACAGGAAAAAAUUAAAGUCCAGGAAGUUAUAAGAAAGCCAUAU